Molecule: small RNA, 609 nt
Filed under: Pongo abelii (Sumatran orangutan)
Lineage: Eukaryota; Metazoa; Chordata; Mammalia; Primates; Hominidae
Description: retained intron
Source: RNAcentral
AGACUCAUGUUUGUAUCCCUCGGCUCAGAAAUGGAAUUUGGAGCUGACUUAGUGUUUUUGGCUGUUAAGCCCUUGACAUUUUACAUUGGUGAAGUUUCACUGUGUCCUCUGCAAACAGGGACAAUGGAAAGGUUGUUAUAUGGAAUGUCUGUAAAUUCUAAUACUUGAAGCGGACCCAGGAGUGGUAGGUCUCAUAAUUAACAACAUUCAGACAAUCACUGUCUUUGUUUUUCCCUCUAGUGGUGCCUGUGGAGAGGUAAAGCUGGCUUUCGAGAGGAAAACAUGUAAGAAAGUAGCCAUAAAGAUCAUCAGCAAAAGGAAGUUUGCUAUUGGUUCAGCAAGAGAGACAGACCCAGCUCUCAAUGUUGAAACAGAAAUAGAAAUUUUGAAAAAGCUAAAUCAUCCUUGCAUCAUCAAGAUUAAAAACUUUUUUGAUGCAGAAGAUUAUUAUAUUGUUUUGGAAUUGAUGGAAGGGGGAGAGCUGUUUGACAAAGUGGUGGGGAAUAAACGCCUGAAAGAAGCUACCUGCAAGCUCUAUUUUUACCAGAUGCUCUUGGCUGUGCAGUACCUUCAUGAAAACGGUAUUAUACACCGUGACUUAAAGCCAGA